Molecule: long non-coding RNA, 4058 nt
Organism: Lytechinus pictus (painted urchin)
Lineage: Eukaryota; Metazoa; Echinodermata; Echinoidea; Temnopleuroida; Toxopneustidae
Exons: 3
Source: RefSeq, a predicted model, not a curated record
AUGGCGUGAAAGCUGAAAGAAGGAAUGAUGUGCCACCGACGACCACAGUUUUUAAACAGCGGACUUCCGACAGAUUUCUUUUCUGAUAUUACUUCGUAAGAGAGAGAAAAUGAUGGAAACAAUUGAUUUGGUAAUGAAUUCAACAAGUGAUUUGAUGAUAACUUGCACAAUAAUUAACCUGAUGUCGACCAAGUCAUCCGAUUACCACUUAUCCGAUGCACAUCCUGAGCCAAAAUUGGAAGUGGAAUACAGGCCUACGAUCGAGUUAACAUCAACAUCCUUGCAGGUGGAUAGGUGAAUGUUGCUUGGACGGCAUCUGCAAUUCCGCAUGUGGUUAUCUUACGCGCAAGAAUUGUCCACAUUAACCAAGACUUCAACACCAAGAAAGACGACUGAUGACCACCUCAUGCAUAAUGAGCCACAAGUGGAAGAGGCUUACCUCGAGUACAUUUCACCAUCCAUGUGUCCUGGUCAGCGAGGAAUGGAACGGGUUUUCAUCAGGAGAUGCUGGAGGAAUUUGUGGAUAGGAGAAUGCUGCUUGGAAGUCAUCCACUGAUCCGCAUGUGCUUAUCUUACGGUGAGAUGAGAUCUGAUGUCAUUGCUGACCAUCCCCAUCGAGUUGCCACUUGAGAGGACCCAGUUUAUACUUUGAGGAGUAAGAUGAGAUGUGGAAAAUGGACUUCGGUCGACGAAUAAUACCAUGCAGAUGCAGUGAUUGGAAAGUUCAUCCGAUGCAGUCUCAUUUUGGUCAGGAGUGAUUGCAAAGAUCCAGUUGAUCUUAUGCAUGUCUUCCGCUGACCAGAGCCUAAGGGCCACCACACAUCUUACGAUUGCUCUGCGACCCGAUUUUGGAAUAAAACGUAAUAUAAUUUGAUUCUAAUAUUGAGACAUGGAAUAUCUGUCUGUCUCAAUAUUCUACAAAUUCGUACGAAUACCUAUGUUCAAAUCUGUGACUAUGCUGUCAUCCUUAUUAGAAUAAAAGUUAAUCCAAUAGCUAGUCGUAAUGACGUCAUAGCUAUCAUACGAUUUGAAACCAAUUUGGCCUUAACUAAAAAAAAUGAAGGCUUGCAAUCAUCCUAAUUUGUUAUAUUAGUAUUCUUACAGUUAAUUUGAACCUGAAAUAAACAAAUAUAUUUUUCUUUUCACAUUUUGAGAAAACGAGCGAAAUGCGAUUUGUUCCAGAAUCGGAUCGUUGACCAGUCGUAAGGUGGCUUUAAGAGACUUUGCGUUACAUGACGGGAAUGUUUCUAUUAAAUAUAACAGUAGGAUUCGAUGGAACAAAAAAAGUCAACCAAUUUGGUUCACCUUUCACGAAUGCGAGAACGUUGCUCUUCUACUUCUCCAUUAUCUGUUUUGAAAUUUUAUUGCAUUAUUUGGACGAAAAAGCGUAAAGAACAAGGUAACAAAACUUUCGUCUACCUUGUGGACGGGAAUCUUUGAAUUUUAUACAUUACCUGAGUGUGGAUUCGAGACUGAAUUCUAAUAAGCGUUCUCAGGGACGUUCCCUUGAUGUAUGCCAAAGUCUCUAACAGUCUAACUUGUCUAGAGGGGUGGUAAUUCAGGCACUUUGUUCCAUUUCAAAUAUCAUAAAAAAAAUUUUUAAGGCUUCAUUUGGAUUUCAGCAGAAACACGUGUGGUUCAUGGUGAUUCCCAAAGGAAUAGGCCCUAAUUAUUGGUAAUGCAUCAAAUCUAGAUGUUAAAGGACAAUAUUUUUUUCUUCAAAAGCUCGGUCGCUUUGCUUCAUCGCAUGAAUCCCCUCAAAUCGAAUAAUUUCACGCCCUUGUUAAGCAUAAUAAAUGUUCAGUGUUUGCAGCAUUCUUACAGGUUAAAUGUUUUUUUUUAAUGUUACCCUAGGGCAACACUUUGAGGGAGAGCAGAAAAAAUGGGGAUGAAGAAAAAUUAUAAUCUUUAUCAUACAAAAGGUAAAUGCACCAAAACUGAAGUUUGGGAGAGUUAAAAUUCCACAUUUUCUUCUUUCAGCUCACUUGCCGAUUUUUUUUCAAUGAGAUAUCCUUCAGCAUCUCAUGAGAUUUCUACUGUUGCUCUAGAAACAACAGGCUUUGAAUAUUUAUCAUUUCAUAAAGGAAAUAUAAGUUCGCAGCAUAGCCGGUUGAAGUAGGAGGGGCAGGAUAAUUCUACAAUACGUAUAAAAGUAUGUGGGAUAAGACCAUAUACUGUGGAAAGGUGGGCUCAUUUCCAUGGUCUUAGAACCCCCCCUCUUGAAAAGAACGUGGGAGCUUGCACUUUUUUGUUGAAUCUUUACCUGAAUUAAACACAACUAUUACGCGUGUCUCUAUUUUGUGUUAGGCAAGCCAAAAUUUUGCGACAUCCUCCUCAAGAAAUUCUUCGGUGUGUUUUUGCUGUGUUGGUACAGGCGCCCCGCCGGAACAAGCGUUAAAAAUAGCACCCCUUCCAGUAUUCGACCGUCAAUUCCCGGGGGUGGAGGGGGGGGGGUGCUUUCACUGAAAUUGCGCAGCUUCCACCAAAAUAAUGUGGACAUUAAUUGAAAUCCUAAUCCCAAAACGCGAUAUCCUGUGCCUUAUAUCCGUGAAAAGAACUAAUAUUACACCAAAAUUAUUUGGUAAAGGUGGUGAAAACUUUCUGUGCUGCUUAUUUUGUUUUACAGAUUGGGAGUUGAAUCAAUGAAAAUGACAAAAAUGCCCCUUUCCUCCGUCCAUCGGCUAUGAUGCAGGAUGCGGACUUACAUGUAUGUUUAUGUGGGUUGUUUUACAAUCAGUGCAUAUCAUCAAAGAGGCCUACCGUGCAUCAUAAUAAAUAUGUGUACUGUAAUCUUAAAUCUAUGGUGGCAAGAUAUUGGGCACUGUUAGAGCAAAUUGCAAGAAGGGGAAAUUAUUGAAUAUACUUUUACUUCUCAAAGUUUACCAUAUGCGGCAUUUUAGGGCAAAAAUCGCCUUCUUAUGUCCUCAUUUUCCCAAUUUCGAGCUCGCGCAUCUCUAUGAUUUACAAUCAUUAUGCAUUGUUUUCCAAUCAGAAUUGAUUAUUGAAAUUGUUUAAAAACCCCAAAUUCUCAGAAGCUGCGGACAAUUUUAUUUCUUUAAUGACAACCAAUAAUGAGUGCCAAUUCUAUCGAUAAAUGUUAUUUUCUUCCGAACUCUAUAUUUUCACUCAUAAUGAGACAUUACCUGAUAGAUAAUGUUUUGACUUUAAGAAUACUUGUGUAAUUAUAUGCAAACAAAUCCAUUUGUCCACUUCCGCUUAUUUUUCCAGUCAUAUGUGUUCCACUGUUGUCAAAUCAAUUUCUGUCCAAAAGAGUCAUCCUUUGCGAAAAAAUUGACAGUUGACACAACAUCUAAUUUAAAGAUUGAACCCCCACAAAAAUAAAACUGGCCUUUAAUAUAUAUGCCUCACAAUGUAACUAACACUAUUUCACCCUUUUUACACGCCAAAAAAUGAGGAAAACCAAAGAUUUUUUUUGUCGAAUGAGACAGCUGGUAUACCCUGAUUGUAAAACAACCCCUAUAGCCUUCAGGGCCCCAUCUAACAAAGAGUGGCAGUUAAUCCGAUCAACCACAGCUAUGGAAAGCCAUCAACGUCAACAUCUAAAGUGCAUGUUUGUUCAAAAUGUUUCUAGAUAUAUUUAUUUAUACAUUCAUAAGCUUUCUUGAAAAUUCAGCGUGCUUCUCUUUGUUUACAGAGGAUAUCGUGCAAAUUUCAUGUAGAAAAUAAUAUGCCAAUAAUGGAUUUCCAUAUAGUUGAGGCUGAUCGGAUCAAUCGUAACUCUUUAUAAGAACGAUACAAUUCUGUUGAAUGCUCCAUGUGAAAUGUUCAAUGUUGUUGUUCUAAUAUCCAUGCAAAAUGAUGUGUAUUAUAUAUUUUUAUAAAAUAGUGAUGCGGAUCCUUGUUAUUUGAUAAACCAUUCUAAUCCCAAAGCAUGACUGGUUAAAACAACUGAUCAUGAAAACCUGUCAUUACCAAAUUUUCAUGUUAAAAUGCUGAAAUUAUUUCUGACUGGUCACAUGACAAGAUUUCAGUCAGUGAUUUUAUUAGGAUCCAUAUCACCAUUUUAUAAAGAUAAUUAAAUGAUUGUGUUACACCCU